ACCGAGCUCGCAGUCGUUGCUGCCCCGAGGAGGUGUAGAUCGAGCCUCCUGCCGCACACACGUUCGCACGCGGCGGCCGGCGCGCUGGACCGAGAGGUUGGAGCAAUCCAUCCUCCGCGCGCACGAGCUCAGUCCCUACUGCCCCGACAGGUGUGGAACCCGCCGUCCCCGCUAUGGUCCGAGGAAGUGUACAGCACUGCUCCCUACUACACGUCCUGGGCCCGCGGUCCCCGAUGCCCCCCGGAGCUCUGUGCACCUCCACUGAAACGCAAGGAGCAGACAGAACCUACACCAUCCGUGAGGCAUCCAACCAUGAUGAGGUACCUUGUUGAACAAACUAACUCUGCCACUGAGAACGAUGAAAGCUGUUUAAAAAAAUAAAUAAGUCUGUUUAAAACAAUUGGAGAGCAACCCUGUCAUCCAAGGCUUGAGAGUCCACGAGCCCCCCAGGAAGAAGAGAAAUACUCUGAAUGUCAGUACGGGGUCUAUCACAUAGUGGAAUUAAUGAGGAAACAGACUCAAAAAGGAUUUUGGCUUGCUCAAGGUCACACAGCUUGUAUGAGGCAGUGCUGCAAUUUAAAGCCAGCUCCAGAACGUGGUUUUGGUUGCAGCUGCAGUUUCUCUUCUUUGAAUUCUGGAACAGCACCUAUAAGAUAUUAUUGAAGCAAAUGACCUUAAUGCUUGGCAGUGAAGGACCCCACACAGAAUUAAUUAAUCAGCAGGACAGACUUGCCACCAAUUAGACCUAUUUGACCAAAAUGACUUUAAAUGCAUUAAGUGGCAUCUAAAAGCAUAAAUCAAAUUGACAGAAUAACAGUCAAACACACAUCAAUUAUGACUAUAAAUGUAAAUCUUUAUACUCUCCAAAUAAAAGGCUGACUUUCAGAUUAGGUUAAAAAAUACUACUAAACUAUAAAUAUUUAUCAUAAACAAACCUUCUAUAAUCUGAGUACUUUGUGAGGCCAAGGCUGGUCUCAAACUCCUUACCUCAGGUGAUCCACCCACAUUGGCCUCCCAAAGUGCUGGGAUUGCAGGCGUGAGCCACCGUGCCCGGCCUCUCUGUUCCUUUAUUUAUCAUUCUAGAAUCACAUAGAGGCAGCUAAGUAGUUGCCCCCAGAAACAGGUAAGAACAAUUCGUUAAUUAAAUUAACUCCAAGGCCAAUCUGUGCUCUAGGCUGAAGGUGAAUCUGUUUCUCAACUCAAAUUAUACACAGCCAUCUUGUCUAAUACAAUUCCUCAAAGGUUAUUACAUGAAAUCUAAUUGACAGCAUAAAGAUACUCCAUAGUACAAAGUAAGCUAUUAAUUCAUAAAGUAUACUGAAUAUAAAUUGCCUUUCAUUAUGAUGUUUCCACAAAUAAAAAAAAUCAUUUUCCUUUUAUAAGUUAAAGUACGAACAGAUAUUAGAGAUGAAAGCCUUAAAGAAUUUUUUUAGCCUGUUUUAUUAUUGUUUUAAAAUUUACUACAGUGUACCCCUUUAUUGCCUGCACUGGGGGCAAUCCACUUCUGCCUUGCACUUAGCAUGACACUGCUUUUUAUUGACAUGUAACAUACAUUCAGAAACAGUGAUCAGAUGUAUCCAGAUCAAACAUCACCACCUAGGUCAAGAAAGAUGAUAUUACAGGUAUCCCAGAAGCCCACUCCACAACCCCUCCUAAUUGCUAACACCAUAUAUUAGUUUUGUCUCAUGUUUAUCUUCAAAUAAAUGGAAUCAAUCACACAGUA
RNAcentral lists this long non-coding RNA (1723 nucleotides) under Homo sapiens (human). RNAcentral describes it as "HSDL2 antisense RNA 1, transcript variant 2 (HSDL2-AS1)". Lineage: Eukaryota; Metazoa; Chordata; Mammalia; Primates; Hominidae. The record is from RNAcentral.